CUACGGGAUGCAGCAGUGAGGAAUAUUGCGCAAUGGGGGAAACCCUGACGCAGCGACGCCGCGUGGAUGAUGAAGGCCUUCGGGUCGUAAAAUCCUGUCAGAUGGGAAGAAGUGGUAUAUGCCUAAUAUGUAUAUACUUUGACGGUACCAUCAAAGGAGGCACCGGCUAACUCCGUGCCAGCAGCCGCGGUAAUACGGAGGGUGCGAGCGUUGUUCGGAAUUACUGGGCGUAAAGCGCGCGUAGGCGGUUGUAUAAGUCAGAUGUGAAAGCCCAUGGCUCAACCAUGGACGUGCAUUUGAUACUGUAUAACUUGAGUACUGGAGGGGGUAGUGGAAUUCCCGGUGUAGAGGUGAAAUUCGUAGAUAUCGGGAGGAAUACCGGUGGCGAAGGCGACUAUCUGGCCAGAUACUGACGCCGAGGUGCGAAAGCGUGGGGAGCAAACAGGAUUAGAUACCCCUGUAGUC
Molecule: ribosomal RNA, 465 nt
Filed under: uncultured bacterium
Lineage: Bacteria
Description: partial 16S ribosomal RNA
Rfam family: Bacterial small subunit ribosomal RNA
Source: RNAcentral